CCUACGGGGGGCAGCAGUGAGGAAUAUUGGUCAAUGGGCGAGAGCCUGAACCAGCCAAGUCGCGUGAGGGAGUACUGCCCUAUGGGGUGUAAACCUCUUUUGUCGGGGAGCAAAAGCCGGACGUGUCCGGCUGUGAGAGUACCCGAAGAAAAAGCAGCGGCUCACCCCGUGCCAGCAGCCGCGGUAAGACGGAGGAUGCUAGCGUUAUCCGGAUUUAUUGGGUUUAAGGGGUGCGCAGGCGGAUUUUUAAGUCAGCGGUCAAAGCGUGGGGCUCAACCCCCACCAGCCGUUGAAACUGGGGAUCUAUAGUGUGCGAGAGGUAUGCGGAAUGCGUGGUGUAGCGGUGAAAUGCAUAGAUAUCACGCAGAACCCCGAUUGCGAAGGCAGCAUACCGGUGCACAACUGACGCUCAGGCACGAAAGCGUGGGUAUCGAACAGGAUUAGAUACCCUAGUAGUC
RNAcentral lists this ribosomal RNA (458 nucleotides) under uncultured bacterium. RNAcentral describes it as "partial 16S ribosomal RNA". It matches the Rfam family "Bacterial small subunit ribosomal RNA", at positions 338 to 795 of the family's 1533-position model. The record is from RNAcentral.